This 1475-nucleotide ribosomal RNA is filed under the name Staphylococcus saprophyticus. RNAcentral's name for it is "bacterial SSU rRNA". It matches the Rfam family "Bacterial small subunit ribosomal RNA". Lineage: Bacteria; Bacillati; Bacillota; Bacilli; Caryophanales; Staphylococcaceae. The record is from RNAcentral.
GGUAACAUGCAGUCGAGCGGUUGGAUCAAGAGCUUGGUCUUUGAGAUAGCGGCGGACGGGUGAGUAACGUGUGGGUAACCGGCCGAUAAGACUGGGAUAAAUCCGGGAAACCGGGGCUAAAACCGGAAAAGAUUUUGAACCGCAGGGGGGGAAAUUGAGGGGCCGCUUCGGCUGACACGUACGGAUGGACCCACGUCCCCCUAGCGGGUUGGUGAGGUAACGGCUCACCAACGCAACGAUGCUGAGACGACCUGAGAGGGUGAUCGGGCACACAGGGACUGAUGCACGGGAGGACUCCUACGGGAGGCAGCAUUGUGGAAUCUUCCGAUGGACGACAGUCUGACGGAUGACGCCACGUGAGUGAUGAAGGCUUUCAUUCGGAGGUUUUCCGAGUGUUGUUAGGGAAAGGAACAAGUGCUAGUUGAAUAAGCUGGCACCUUGACCGUACCUAACCAUAAAGCCACGGCUAACUACCUGCCAACAACCGCGGUAAUACGUAAGUGGCAAGGGUUAUCCGGAAUUAUUGGGCGUAAGGCGCCGACGCGCAGGUGGUUUCUUUAAGUCUGAUGUGAAAACCCACCCGGGCUCCAACCCGUGGAGGGGUUCAUUGGAAACUGGGAGAAGCUUGAGAUGCUUAAAGGAGGAAGAAGUGGAAUUUCCAUGUGUUAACCGGUGAAAUGCGUAGAAUAUAUGGAGGAAACCACCAGUUGGGCCCAGGCGACUUUUCCUGGUCUGUUAAACUGACAGCUGAGGGCUCGCGAAAGCGUUGGGGGAGCAAACGGGAUUAGAUACCCUGGUAGGUUCCACGCCGUAAACGAUGAGUGCUAAGUGUUAGAGUGUUUCCGCCCUUUCGUGCUUAAGUUAACGCAUUAAGCGCUCCGCCCGGCGAGCUCGAGCGCAAGGCUGAAACUCAAAAGAAUUGACGGGGUCCCGCACACGCGGUGGAGCAUGUGGAUUUAAUCGAAAGCAUCGCAAAGAACCUUACCCACGGUCUUGACAUCCUCAUAACCACCUAGAAGAUCGAGCUUUGCCCUUCGGCACCAGAGUGACAGGUUGGUGCAUGGCUGUCGUCAGCUCGUGUCGUGAAAUUGUUGGUUAAUUCCCCGCAAACGAGGCCCAACACCUCAAUUUUAGYUGCCAUCAUUUAGUUGUGAAAUCUAGAGGACUCGCCGGUAACAAACUGGAGGAAGGUGGGGAUGACGUGCAAAUCAUCCAGCCCCUUAUGACCCGUACUACCCCCCUGGUACAAUGGGCAGUACAAAGAGAAGCAAGCCCGCGAGGAGCAACCAUUCUUCCUAAACUGUUUGCAAUUCGGGAUGGGGGUUGCAAAUUGCCUUCCUGAAAGUGGAAUCGGUAGUAAUCGCGGAUCAGCAUGCCGCGGUGAAUACGUUCCCGGGCCUUGUACCCACCCCCCGUCACACCACGAGAGUUUGUAACCCCCGAAGUCGGGGAGGUAACCUUGAACCAGCCGCCAG